Polyplosphaeria fusca is the source of this 82-nucleotide non-coding RNA. NCBI's taxonomy places the organism in Eukaryota, Fungi, Ascomycota, Dothideomycetes, Pleosporales, Tetraplosphaeriaceae. The record is from the annotation of a GenBank genome assembly.
GGCCAUGUGGCCCAAUGGCAAGGCGCUUGACUACGAUAACGCAGUAAUCAAGAGAUUCCAGGUUCGACCCCUGGCAUGGUCA